GCGCCUACAAGUUGCGGGAGAAGAAGAAGUUGAAGAAGAAGAGGAAAGAUUUUCUUUUAUAUUCAUACGACGAAGACUCUUCAACGUGAUCACUUGUCUGCUGUCUGUCUACUUGAAUGUUCGGACUUCGGUGUGGAUCACACUCAAGAGGAUAAACCAACACAACUGGACUGUGUGGGCUCAAAAAGGUGUUUGUGGAGAGGAAGCCACAUCUGAUUUGGACUCAAACUAGGUACUGUUCCUAGAACUGAUGACCUCAACUUACGUGCAGCCUGUUUCUGUUUUAGUGUUUCUUGUAAUGUGAGUUUAUCAUUUAAUAACCUUGUUUUCAGUGUGAAAUAAAAUCCUACAUAUA
Molecule: long non-coding RNA, 355 nt
Organism: Cheilinus undulatus (humphead wrasse)
Lineage: Eukaryota; Metazoa; Chordata; Actinopteri; Labriformes; Labridae
Exons: 4
Source: RefSeq, a predicted model, not a curated record